RNAcentral lists this ribosomal RNA (1219 nucleotides) under Pseudocilibe samuelsoni. RNAcentral's name for it is "SSU rRNA". It matches the Rfam family "Eukaryotic small subunit ribosomal RNA", at positions 32 to 1195 of the family's 1831-position model. The record is from RNAcentral. Lineage: Eukaryota; Metazoa; Arthropoda; Insecta; Coleoptera; Tenebrionidae.
UUGUCUCAAAGAUUAAGCCAUGCAUGUCUCAGUACAAGCCAAAUUAAGGUGAAACCGCGAAAGGCUCAUUAAAUCAGUUAUGGUUCCUUAGAUCGUACCAACGUUACUUGGAUAACUGUGGUAAUUCUAGAGCUAAUACAUGCAAACAGAGCUCCGACCGGAGACGGAAGGAGCGCUUUUAUUAGAUCAAAACCAAUCGGUGGCGGUUUCGCCGUCAUCGUACAACUUGGUGACUCUGAAUAACUUUACGCUGAUCGCACGGUCUUGCACCGGCGACGCAUCUUUCAAAUGUCUGCCUUAUCAACUGUCGAUGGUAGGUUCUGCGCCUACCAUGGUUGUAACGGGUAACGGGGAAUCAGGGUUCGAUUCCGGAGAGGGAGCCUGAGAAACGGCUACCACAUCCAAGGAAGGCAGCAGGCGCGCAAAUUACCCACUCCCGGCACGGGGAGGUAGUGACGAAAAAUAACGAUACGGGACUCAUCCGAGGCCCCGUAAUCGGAAUGAGUACACUCUAAACCCUUUAACGAGGAUCAAUUGGAGGGCAAGUCUGGUGCCAGCAGCCGCGGUAAUUCCAGCUCCAAUAGCGUAUAUUAAAGUUGUUGCGGUUAAAAAGCUCGUAGUCGAAUCUGUGUCCCGCGCCGCCGGUUCAUCGUUCGCGGUGUUAACUGGCGUGCCGCGGGACGUCCUGCCGGUGGGCUUAGCUCGCNAGGGCGGCCCAACUCAAUCCCGCCGCGGUGCUCUUCAUUGAGUGUCGAGGUGGGCCGGCACGUUUACUUUGAACAAAUUAGAGUGCUUAAAGCAGGCUAAAACUUUGCCUGAAUACUGUGUGCAUGGAAUAAUGGAAUAGGACCUCGGUUCUAUUUUGUUGGUUUUCGGAACCCCGAGGUAAUGAUUAAUAGGAACGGAUGGGGGCAUUCGUAUUGCGACGUUAGAGGUGAAAUUCUUGGAUCGUCGCAAGACGGACAGAAGCGAAAGCAUUUGCCAAAAACGCUUUCAUUGAUCAAGAACGAAAGUUAGAGGUUCGAAGGCGAUCAGAUACCGCCCUAGUUCUAACCAUAAACGAUGCCAGCUAGCGAUCCGCCGACGUUCCUCCGAUGACUCGGCGGGCAGCUUCCGGGAAACCAAAGCUUUUGGGUUCCGGGGGAAGUAUGGUUGCAAAGCUGAAACUUAAAGGAAUUGACGGAAGGGCACCACCAGGAGUGGAGCCUGCGGCUUAAUU